This is a long non-coding RNA of Felis catus (domestic cat), 727 nucleotides long. RefSeq lists it as uncharacterized. Lineage: Eukaryota; Metazoa; Chordata; Mammalia; Carnivora; Felidae. The record is from RefSeq and is a predicted model, not a curated record. The transcript has 3 exons.
UCUUGCUGCCAAAUCCCAGAAACCUGAAGCUAGGCGGAAAGGGGCGGGGGAUUCUUAAAGAGACAGUCACUUCCUACACAAAAACUGGGGAAAAAAUGAGAGCACCUCUACCUGAUUUGGUUGUGGUCUGAUUUACACUGUGUCGUUCGAAUUCCUCUUUCCAGAAGUCGGAGUGACUGUUCAAGUUACCUCCCGGGCUUACAUGCUUCAUGCGAUGUCACUGACGGUCUGGUAUCCCAACACCAGAGGUGAGUGAAAAGAUUCCCUCAGCAGAGGCACCUGCAGGAUGUGCAACGAUUCAUUUUUACUCCGACUAUUGGUUCUGUGGAAGCAUCGACUCUACUGGCUCAUCAUUUACAUUCACAAUGGACAUCUGGAGCCAGCAAAAGGAAACAUUAGACUUGUUUGUGUUGUCAAAUUAAAAAGGGAAAAGAGAAUGGUUUAAAGUUCUGAGAGUCUCCGUAACAUUUAAUUAUGCUUUUGACGGCAGUCCAAUCAAAAAUAUGCUUUUGCAGGAAAACGGGCACUAAGAAAAAAGCCUGCUUUGCUAUUCAGAUUGUUGCUAGGUCAACCUCUCAAUUCCUCAGCUUACAGAAGAGCAGCCAUGACAUGAUUAUAGGGUCUUUCCUCUGAGGAAGCUGAAGAGCUUCACCAUAGUUCUCAAACAGUUUAUUUCCUCCACAUUCCCAUUAGAUGUUAUUAUCCCUCUCGCCUGGAUGAGGAACCA